RNAcentral lists this ribosomal RNA (420 nucleotides) under uncultured bacterium. Its description in RNAcentral is "partial 16S ribosomal RNA". It matches the Rfam family "Bacterial small subunit ribosomal RNA", at positions 360 to 773 of the family's 1533-position model. The record is from RNAcentral.
AAUAUUUGACAAUGGGCGCAAGCCUGAUCCAGCCAUGCCGCGUGUGUGAAGAAGGUCUUCGGAUUGUAAAGCACCUUAAGUUGGGAGGAAGGGCAGUAAGUUAAUACCUUGCUGUUUUGACGUUAUCGACAGAAUAAGCACCGGCUAACUUCGUGCCAUCAGCCGCGGUGAUACGAAGGGUGCAAGCGUUAAUCGGAAUUACUGGGCGUAAAGCGCGCGUAGGUGGUUUGUUAAGUUGGCAGUGAAAGCCCCGGGCUCAACCUGAAACUGCUUUCAAAACUGGCAGGCUAGAGUAUGGCAGAGGGUGGUGGAAUUUCCUGUGUAGCGGUGAAAUGCGUAGAUAUAGGAAGGAACACCAGUGGCGAAGGCGACCACCUGGGCUAAUACUGACACUGAGGUGCGAAAGCGUGGGGAGCAAAC